UUCCUUCAAUGGGACAGUCAUUAUCGUCUCUUUGGUUAUCUAGCUGUAUGAUUUGAAAUGUAAAUCAUAAAGCUGGAAAACUGAAGGAACGAUGUGUCUCAUGGA
This 105-nucleotide microRNA precursor is filed under the name Pristionchus pacificus. RNAcentral's name for it is "microRNA ppc-mir-9 precursor". Its record names the gene ppc-mir-9. The stretch from base 20 to 96 matches the Rfam family "mir-9/mir-79 microRNA precursor family". Rfam says of the family: The mature ~21nt miRNAs are processed from hairpin precursor sequences represented here. miR-9 is processed from the 5' arm of its precursor, and miR-79 from the 3' arm. The bounds of the precursors are predicted based on conservation and base pairing and are not generally known. The record is from miRBase by way of RNAcentral. Lineage: Eukaryota; Metazoa; Nematoda; Chromadorea; Rhabditida; Neodiplogasteridae.